UACGAAGGGGGCUAGCGUUGCUCGGAAUCACUGGGCGUAAAGCGCACGUAGGCGGCUUCUUAAGUCAGGGGUGAAAUCCUGGAGCUCAACUCCAGAACUGCCUUUGAUACUGAGAAGCUUGAGUCCGGGAGAGGUGAGUGGAAUUCCGAGUGUAGAGGUGAAAUUCGUAGAUAUUCGGAAGAACACCAGUGGCGAAGGCGGCUCACUGGACCGGCAUUGACGCUGAGGUGCGAAAGCGUGGGGAGCAAACAGG
Molecule: ribosomal RNA, 253 nt
Filed under: uncultured bacterium
Lineage: Bacteria
Description: partial 16S ribosomal RNA
Rfam family: Bacterial small subunit ribosomal RNA
Source: RNAcentral